This 992-nucleotide long non-coding RNA is filed under the name Capsella grandiflora. RNAcentral's name for it is "long non-coding RNA (CGRA_LNC000264)". Lineage: Eukaryota; Viridiplantae; Streptophyta; Magnoliopsida; Brassicales; Brassicaceae. The record is from RNAcentral.
GGAGGACAUGGCUUCUUAGGGGUCGGCGGUGGAAGCUCUACCUUCGGCGGUGGGUCGUGAACUGGUACAGGAGGUGGGUGCUCAAUCUUCGGAGGUUUAGGUGGACAAGGCUUCUUAGUAAUCGGCGGUGGAAGUUCCACCUUUGGUGGUGGCUCGUGAACGGGGACAGGGGGUGGAACCUCUUCCUUUGGCGGUGGCUCGUAGACCGGAACCGGAGGAGGAACCUCCUCGGGAGGGCUGUAUUUAGGUGGACAGGGUAUCUUGAAUUUAGGAAAAGGUGGAAGUACCAAAGGCGGAUGAUCAAAGCCCUUGAAAGGAGGUAACUUAGGCAUAGGCCAGAAGAACUUGGAAACGCAAAUUUCGGGUGAAAACUUGAGGUUUUGUUUGAGACCCAAAACGUGUUUAUCCACGGACUUGGAUAAAAACACAAUCUUGGUGGAUUCAAGGCCGUCGUGAGCUGGACAAGGGGUACCCUUAGCGCUGUGAAGCUGAGCGUAACACUCCUCCUUUAAAGUUCCGUCGUCGGAGACAAUGUCAUGAGGAAUAGUCAGGCCAAACUUUCCUUUAUCGUCAAUGUUUCCGGAACCUUUUGUAACAAAAUGGCCUUUAUUCACCUUACAGUCGAUCGUCACUCGUAGUCCUGUAUAGCAAAUGAUCUUAAUUAAUUAUCAUACACAUUUAAUUUGAUCAAACAUUAUAAAAGUUAGUAAUGAAUGUGGGUUAUAUAUUAUGAAGUUGCCUGAAAAUGCAUGGGGGCUUUUGAUCUUGCUCUCGGCGUAACCGACAACCUCGACGACACGAGCGAGUGAGAGAGUCGCUGAAGUGAAGAGAAUAGACACGAGAAGGAGGAGGCAGAAGGGAACCGAACCUCGAGGUUCGGGUAAGAUCCUCAUUGGGAUUAUCACCCUCUGAGAUCUCUGACACACUUGUCUUUCGCUUGCUGAAAAUACUAAGUUUAUUUAUAAAAGAAGAAAGAAACUAUAUGAUAUAUA